UAAACUAGGAUUAGAUACCCUAUUAUUAAUAGCCUAUUAUAAAGUUGGAAAGUACGAACUAUAGUUUAAACACCAAAGAAUUUGGCGGUGUCUUAUUCAAUUAGGGGAACCUGUCCUAUAAAUCGAUAAUCCACGAAUGCCUUACCUAAUUUUGAAACUCAGUUAGUGUACUGCCGUCUAAAGUAUACCUUUAUGAGAGCAUACAAUAAAUUAUAUAUAUAUAUUAAUUAUACGUCAGGUCAAAGUGCAGCUUAUAAUUAGGUAGAGAUGGGUUACAAUCUUUACAAAGAUACGGACCAAAUAAUCAAAUCUUAUUUGAGAAGGUGGACUUAACAGUAAUUAUUUAUAGUAUAAUGAAAAUAAAAUUAAGACAAGUACACAUCGCCCGUCGCUCUUAUAUAUCC
This 404-nucleotide ribosomal RNA is filed under the name Helobdella echoensis. Its description in RNAcentral is "partial 12S ribosomal RNA". The stretch from base 46 to 404 matches the Rfam family "Bacterial small subunit ribosomal RNA", at positions 874 to 1412 of the family's 1533-position model. Lineage: Eukaryota; Metazoa; Annelida; Clitellata; Rhynchobdellida; Glossiphoniidae. The record is from RNAcentral.